GCCCAGGUCCCGCUCUCCAGCCGCGCUCCUUUCUAACCAUCUGCGGCUUCCGCGCUCUCUUUCUGCGCCUGCGCUGUAGCUUUCUGCGUCGCUUUCGCUACCUCGUUUUGAGCCCUAUGCUAAUUAGCCCCCUUUAGGGGCGGAGCCAGUUUGACCCCCUCCCUUCCCUUGUCCACGCGACGGGCGUUGUACAGCGCGAUGCCGGUUUACGACAGUGUUUUUUCUACCUUUACGGCUGUCAUUAGCAACUGAACCGACAGGGGCCUGCUGGCUCGGGACUGCUGCGGUUAGGUGGUGCCCGGGCUAUGAGGUGGCAGCCCUGGGAAGAGGUCCAGAAAGGAUUUGGGGAGCCCACACACAAGGGUGUGAAGAGCUGAAUGGCCUUCAGACCUCAGAAGGGGAGUGGCAUUUGAUUCAUCAAAAGAAGGAAAACUGA
RNAcentral lists this long non-coding RNA (436 nucleotides) under Chrysemys picta bellii (western painted turtle). RNAcentral's name for it is "lncRNA (ENSCPBG00000006322.1)". Lineage: Eukaryota; Metazoa; Chordata; Testudines; Emydidae. The record is from RNAcentral.